GAUGAACGCUGGCGGCGUGCCUAAUACAUGCAAGUCGAGCGAACAGACGAGGAGCUUGCUCCUCUGACGUUAGCGGCGGACGGGUGAGUAACACGUGGAUAACCUACCUAUCAGACUGGGAUAACUUCGGGAAACCGGAGCUAAUACCGGAUAAUAUAUUGAACCGUAUGGUUCAAUAGUGAAAGACGGCUUUGCUGUCACUAAUAGAUGGAUCCGCGCCGCAUUAGCUAGUUGGUAAGGUAACGGCUUACCAAGGCGACGAUGCGUAGCCGACCUGAGAGGGUGAUCGGCCACACUGGAACUGGGACACGGUCCAGACUCCUACGGGAGGCAGCAGUAGGGAAUCUUCCGCAGUGGGCGAAAGCCUGACGGAGCAACGCCGCGUGAGUGAUGAAGGUCUUCGGAUCGUAAAACUCUGUUAUUAGGGAAGAACAAAUGUGUAAGUAACUAUGCACGUCUUGACGGUACCUAAUCAGAAAGCCACGGCUAACUACGUG
RNAcentral lists this ribosomal RNA (497 nucleotides) under uncultured bacterium. RNAcentral describes it as "partial 16S ribosomal RNA". It matches the Rfam family "Bacterial small subunit ribosomal RNA", at positions 28 to 507 of the family's 1533-position model. The record is from RNAcentral.